This 442-nucleotide ribosomal RNA is filed under the name uncultured bacterium. RNAcentral describes it as "partial 16S ribosomal RNA". It matches the Rfam family "Bacterial small subunit ribosomal RNA", at positions 338 to 795 of the family's 1533-position model. The record is from RNAcentral.
CCUACGGGGUGCAGCAGUAGGGAAUCUUUCACAAUGGGCGAAAGCCUGAUGGAGCAACGCCGCGUGCAGGAUGAAGGCCUUCGGGUUGUAAACUGCUUUUAUAAGCGAGAAAUAUGAUGGUAACUUAUGAAUAAGGAUCGGCUAACUACGUGCCAGCAGCCGCGGUCAUACGUAGGAUCCGAGCAUUAUCCGGAGUGACUGGGUGUAAAGAGUUGCGUAGGUGGCAUAAUAAGUAGCUAGUGAAAUCUGGUGGCUCAACCAUUCAGACUAUUAGCUAAACUGUUAAGCUCGAGACCGUUAGGGGUAACUGGAAUGUCUAGUGUAGGAGUGAAAUCCGUAGAUAUUAGAAGGAACACCAAUAGUGUAGGCAGGUUGCUGGGACGGUUCUGACACUAAGGCACGAAAGCGUAGGGAGCAAACGGGAUUAGAUACCCGAGUAGUC